This 236-nucleotide ribosomal RNA is filed under the name uncultured bacterium. Its description in RNAcentral is "partial 16S ribosomal RNA". It matches the Rfam family "Bacterial small subunit ribosomal RNA", at positions 100 to 334 of the family's 1533-position model. The record is from RNAcentral.
CGGGACGGGUGAGUAACGCGUGGGUAACCUGCCUUGUACAGGGGGAUAACAGUUGGAAACGGCUGCUAAUACCGCAUAAGCGCACAGCAUCGCAUGAUGCAGUGUGAAAAACUCCGGUGGUAUAAGAUGGACCCGCGUUGGAUUAGCUAGUUGGUGAGGUAACGGCCCACCAAGGCGACGAUCCAUAGCCGACCUGAGAGGGUGACCGGCCACAUUGGGACUGAGACACGGCCCAA